Molecule: non-coding RNA, 86 nt
Organism: Podarcis lilfordi (Lilford's wall lizard)
Lineage: Eukaryota; Metazoa; Chordata; Lepidosauria; Squamata; Lacertidae
Source: the annotation of a GenBank genome assembly
CUUCCCAUGUUUCCUAGCUCAGUGGAAACACAUCUGCUUUGCAUGCAGAAGGUCCCAGGUUCAAAACCCUGCAUCUCCUGGUAAGA